AGCGUUUCUUAUGAUACAGCAGCAACAGGGGUAAAAUAGAGAGAAAGUAGUGCCUGUGGAUGUAGAGAAGAAGUAAUGAUGAAGAAGACAGAGAGAAGAGAAUUGCAGUGAGCCAUUAAUAACCAGGGAGCGGAUGGUGUGGAUAAAUCACAGUGGGUCUGUAGUGGGAAAGCUUGGUUAAAGGGGCAGUGGGUGGAGGGACGAUGUUCACACUGCAGAUCUAUUUGCUCAUCAUCAUCAUCAUCAUCUCUCAGCUCUUUGGCAAACACUUUGACUAGGAGCCCCUGUGCUUUAACUUCACAUUACGCCCCACUGAAUCAACACGCUGUUUAAGUUACACCUCCUUCCCUUCUUUCUCCAGGACUCCCCACAAUAAGCCCUGAACAGCCACCAAGAAGAAUGUGCUCCAUCACCCCCUCCGACAAAGAAUGUGCUUCUAUCUAACUGCCACUGCAAACGCUCUCCAUCCCAGCUCCUGUGCACAGCUGCCUGCAGUCCAGGAGAGCCGGGGGGUGCCGGCGGCGGCGGCGGCAGCAGCUCUCCAUCUUCAGCACUGCCUCUGAAUUAAUCACCUUGCAUUGAAUGAAGCUUUGAGGUCCUUCGCUUGACGCAGUGAGGAAACUGCUGCGGCUCUUUUCUCAGGCCAGCCAUUGGAUCUGUCUAUAGAAGGCAGCAAGCCCUUCUCCAACCUGUGCUGGAAUUCACCGCUGUCCUGAAGAGACCUGAUCGCCAAGGCAAGAGGAGCCCCAAUGUGUCAGGCAAGAGGGAUCCUGUGACUGUUGUGUGAUUCCGGUUGUCCCGGGUGAAUUGGUGAAGCUGGCGAUGUCCUGAAGGUGGCAGAGGAGGUUUCAGCACCAUCGGAUGGUGGACAGCUCCCGGCUCCACUAGGGAUCGCAGCCCGGAGUCGUGAAUUCCAUCCCCGGAGCUGUCCAGCAACGUCUCUCCCCAUGACAUGCACUGCAAGAAGCUUUCCCCUCGCCUAUCCUCAGCUGGACUUUAAUCAGAUAAUGUCAAGUGAUUUGGAGGGCCUGUUAGCAAAUGAAAGGAAAGAAACAGGAUAAAAAGUUUGCAUUCUGGAUUUGGAGUUUGAUCUGAGAAGGCUCUUAGGCUGUAGACUUCUCAACGCAACAACAGGCCCUUAAAUGAAGACUUUUAUAACUGCCACAAGGAAACAUAAUUAAAAACUCAAGUACAAGUUUGUAAUAUCCGCUAAAAGAGCAACAUA
Rana temporaria (common frog) is the source of this 1225-nucleotide long non-coding RNA. RefSeq lists it as uncharacterized. Lineage: Eukaryota; Metazoa; Chordata; Amphibia; Anura; Ranidae. The record is from RefSeq and is a predicted model, not a curated record. The transcript has 4 exons.